RNAcentral lists this ribosomal RNA (253 nucleotides) under uncultured bacterium. Its description in RNAcentral is "partial 16S ribosomal RNA". It matches the Rfam family "Bacterial small subunit ribosomal RNA", at positions 524 to 776 of the family's 1533-position model. The record is from RNAcentral.
UACGUAGGUGGCAAGCGUUGUCCGGAUUUAUUGGGUUUAAAGGGUGCGUAGGCGGCGUAGUAAGUCCGUGGUGAAAGCCCACAGCUCAACUGUGGAACUGCCAUGGAUACUGCUAGGCUUGAGUACAGACGAGGUAGGCGGAAUGGAUCGUGUAGCGGUGAAAUGCAUAGAUACGAUCCAGAACACCGAUUGCGAAGGCAGCUUACUAGACUGUAACUGACGCUGAGGCACGAAAGCGUGGGGAGCGAACAGG